This 298-nucleotide long non-coding RNA is filed under the name Carica papaya (papaya). RNAcentral's name for it is "long non-coding RNA (CPAP_LNC004465)". Lineage: Eukaryota; Viridiplantae; Streptophyta; Magnoliopsida; Brassicales; Caricaceae. The record is from RNAcentral.
CGCACUACCGGUACCUGCACGUGUCCCAAAAAAUUCUAAAUCAGACCUAGGGCCCCUUUCGGCCAAUAUCGAAAUUCCGGCACGGCGGCUCCGCCGUGCUCCGGCGACGGCGAUUCGCCUCGGGUUGGCCGUUUUCGGCCGACUUCGGCCACACUUGCAUCGGUCCCUGCGAUAAAACAACCCUAGGGCCUUCGGUGGGCAAAAAAUCACGAAAAACUGAAACUCACCGGUAGCGGUGCUCUCGGGUGCGGCGGCUCCUCCGGCGUGAGUCGUGUUUUGAUGUUUGGCUCCGAUCAAC